AUGUGGGCCAAAAUUCUUUUAAACAAAUAUGUUAAAGGAAAAUGUAUCUCUGGAGUUAAGAAGAAACCUGGGGACUCUCAUUUUUGGGGAGAUCUGAUGCAGAUCAAAGACAUUUAUUAUAAAAAUGUUAAGAAAAAAUUAGGAGAUGGACUAAAUACUAGGUUUUGGGAAGAUUGAUGGGUAGGAUCAAAACCAUUGAAAGAGGCCUACCCUAGCCUGUAUGACAUUAAUCUAAACCAUGACAUUUCAGUGGCCCAGGCCAUUAACAUGAGAUGGGAGGGUUUUAAGUUCAGAAGAAAUUUAUCUGCAGAUAAAAGAGCUCUUUGGGAGAGUUUGAAAAGCAGAUGUGAAGAGGUGAGAAUGUAUGAGGGCAAAGAUCAGCCGUUAUGGAUGCUGACAGCCAAUAGACAAUUCACUGUGAAAUCGUUGCAUCAACAGCUGAUUAAAACAGACGUGGGUUUCCCACACAAAUUUCUUUGGAAAGUGAAAACCCCAGCGAAAAUCAAGAUGUUUCUGUGGCUGAUUGCCAGGAAAAGUAUACUAACCAGAGAUAACCUUGCAAAAAGGAUGGAAGUGUGA
This 579-nucleotide ribosomal RNA is filed under the name Triticum aestivum (bread wheat). RNAcentral's name for it is "partial small subunit ribosomal RNA". Lineage: Eukaryota; Viridiplantae; Streptophyta; Magnoliopsida; Poales; Poaceae. The record is from RNAcentral.